RNAcentral lists this ribosomal RNA (436 nucleotides) under uncultured Pseudoflavonifractor sp. RNAcentral describes it as "bacterial SSU rRNA". It matches the Rfam family "Bacterial small subunit ribosomal RNA", at positions 728 to 1166 of the family's 1533-position model. Lineage: Bacteria; Bacillati; Bacillota; Clostridia; Eubacteriales; Oscillospiraceae. The record is from RNAcentral.
AACGCGAAGAACCUUACGCUGAGGCGCGAAAGCGUGGGGAGCAAACAGGAUUAGAUACCCUGGUAGUCCACGCCGUAAACGAUGGAUACUAGGUGUGAUGCUGACUGACCUUCUCCGUUGAGGCAGUUAACACAAUAAGUAUCCCACCUGGGGAGUACGAUCGCAAGGUUGAAACUCAAAGGAAUUGACGAGGGCCCGCACUAGCGUUGGAGUAUGUGGUUUAAUUCGAAGCAACGCGAAGAACCUUACCAGGGCUUGACAUCCGACUAACGAAGCAGAGAUGCAUUAGGUGCCCUUCGGGGAAAGUCUAGACAGGUGGUGCAUGGUUGUCGUCAGCUCGUUUCGUGAGAUGUUGGGUUAAGUCCCGCAACGAGCGCAACCCUUAUUGUUAGUUGCUACUCAAGAGCACUCUAGCGAGAGGGUCUUGUACACACGC